UUGCAUAAAACAGGAAAAAAAAAAGCACAAGAGAUCUAGCUUACAAAAUGGGCUAAAAAAAAUGAAACUGUCCUUGCAAAACACACACUGUGAUGGAAGAAGAGACAUUUUUUAAUAGUAGUAUGCACCCUGCAGAAGCUGCGUUCGUUCCUGUUAGAAUUUGCCUUUGAGUCAUGUUGGAAGCCUUUAGGCAACACGUUAGAGGUCGGAGAACACCGGGCUUGCUGGCUUUGUUGUGCUGAAGGACAGCAGAUGUGAUAUCCUACGACCUGGGCCUGCUUUGUCACACUUGUUAAGUACAAAGUGCCAGAAAUGUACCCGGCUCUUGACAGAACAGGAGGCCCAAAAGGCUCUGCCCUUGCCGCUUUUCACUGCAGAGUAUGAAAGAGCUGCUCACCGUAACAGUAUCAGGUUGACCGCCAGAGACUGGUUUGAUCAUCAGGAGAUGCCAGCUGUCCCUGAAUUCUGAUCUCUGAAAGAAUGAUUGAAACUGAACACCAUGGCUGGAAAAAGCUAAAAAGGAUCCUACAAUUUAACUAAUCCAGGCAUCUGCAACUCUGACCCACUGGUCAAAUCUGGCCCAACAUUUUUGUAAAUAAAAUUUUAUUGAAAAACA
Molecule: long non-coding RNA, 616 nt
Organism: Camelus dromedarius (Arabian camel)
Lineage: Eukaryota; Metazoa; Chordata; Mammalia; Artiodactyla; Camelidae
Exons: 3
Source: RefSeq, a predicted model, not a curated record